UGAGCAAUCUGCCCUUCUCAUCGGAAUAAGCGCUGGACACGACGUCUAAUGCCGAAUACGACCUCCUUUCGCAUGAUCGGAGGUGGAAAGCUCCGGCGGAGAAGGAUGAGCUCGCGGCCUAUCAGCUAGUUGGUGUGGGUAAUGGCCCACCAAGGCGACGACGGGUAGCCGGCCUGAGAGGGUGACCGGCCACACUGGGACUGAGACACGGCCCAGACCUCUACGGGAGG
Molecule: ribosomal RNA, 230 nt
Filed under: uncultured bacterium
Lineage: Bacteria
Description: partial 16S ribosomal RNA
Rfam family: Bacterial small subunit ribosomal RNA
Source: RNAcentral